This 247-nucleotide ribosomal RNA is filed under the name uncultured bacterium. Its description in RNAcentral is "partial 16S ribosomal RNA". It matches the Rfam family "Bacterial small subunit ribosomal RNA", at positions 68 to 334 of the family's 1533-position model. The record is from RNAcentral.
UAGCUUGCUAUGGUAGUAACUUAGUGGCAGACGGGUGAGUAAUGUAUAGGAAUCUACCUAGUAUACGGAACAAUUAGUUGAAACGGCAACUAAUACCGUAUACGCCCUACGGGGGAAAGAUUUAUUGCUAUUAGAAUGAGCCUAUAUUAAGAUUAGCUAGUUGGUGGGGUAAUGGCCUACCAAGGCAGUGAUCUAUAGCUGAUCUGAGAGGAUGAUCCAGCCACACUGGAACUGAGAUACGGUCCAG